CGGCUAUCCAUCUUCCAAAGAAAACUCUUUUGAUCGGACCGGUACAUUAUCGAUAGAUGUAUCCUAUUGAAAGGUAAAGAAGUUAUACGUAUUUUGUCAUAUCAAUUAUAAGAUGUAAAAAUAUUUCUAAAAUUUAAAUUUAUUUUUAUUUGUAGAUUCUUGUGCACCUUAAAAAAGUAUGUGCGCAAUAAAGCAAGGCCUGAAGGGUCUAUAGCGGAAGUAUAUGUAGCUAUCGAGUGUCUCAUAUUCUGUUCGAUGUAUCUUGAUGAUAUCGAAACAAGAUUUAAUCAUGC
This 293-nucleotide long non-coding RNA is filed under the name Elaeis guineensis (African oil palm). RNAcentral describes it as "long non-coding RNA (EGUI_LNC029981)". Lineage: Eukaryota; Viridiplantae; Streptophyta; Magnoliopsida; Arecales; Arecaceae. The record is from RNAcentral.